GAAACCACAAGAGAGCAGAAAGAUUUGAGUUUCCCCUUUGGGGAAAAAGCAAUUCCUGCUAUUCCAGAAGAACUAGAGCCGCAGCCAGUCUGCCCUCCCACGUGCCCUUCUCCCAGGGUUUCUUGGCAGAAGCCAUCAUGGCAGGAUGACUGGAGGAUGCCUGCACGGUAGAGCUUUCCCCAGGGAGGAAGGUGGGUCAACACAGAUAUCACUGGGGCAGGAGGGAUAUCCAGGCAUAGCUGGCUUUUUGUAUGACCCCGAAUUCUUGUGCAUUAGAACUAACUAGCUUCCUGGCUUCCCACUGCCUUCUCUCCUGAGCAGCCUGGAUUGAGUCUCCUCAGCAGGGCCUGGUUCGACUGGUGGCUCUCAGCCUCUCCCUCAGGGAGUGAGUGCAUGCGCUCACUUUUUCCAGUGGGCUUCUCGGUCUGAUUUAAUGGAUAUACCAGGACUGAUGACACAUCGGCACGGGAUCUUUCUUUUGCUUCUUGGGAUGAACAGGGAGCCCCUCCUAUCCUCAGUGCCUGCACCUCUCUCCAGACCCAAGACCCCAGAAAGGAGAGAAAGGAAAGGAGACAAUGGACACCUGGUACCCUACUGUGCAGCUC
Long non-coding RNA from Bos taurus (domestic cattle), 605 nucleotides. The record is from Ensembl. Lineage: Eukaryota; Metazoa; Chordata; Mammalia; Artiodactyla; Bovidae.